AGAUUGAACGCUGGCGGCAGGCCUAACACAUGCAAGUCGAGCGGUAGAGAGGUGCUUGCAUCUCUUGAGAGCGGCGGACGGGUGAGUAAUGCCUAGGAAUCUGCCUAGUGGUGGGGGAUAACGUUCGGAAACGGACGCUAAUACCGCAUACGUCCUACGGGAGAAAGCGGGGGACCUUCGGGCCUCGCGCCAUUAGAUGAGCCUAGGUCGGAUUAGCUAGUUGGUGAGGUAAUGGCUCACCAAGGCGACGAUCCGUAACUGGUCUGAGAGGAUGAUCAGUCACACUGGAACUGAGACACGGUCCAAGACUCCGUACGGGA
RNAcentral lists this ribosomal RNA (320 nucleotides) under uncultured soil bacterium. RNAcentral's name for it is "bacterial SSU rRNA". It matches the Rfam family "Bacterial small subunit ribosomal RNA", at positions 26 to 346 of the family's 1533-position model. The record is from RNAcentral.